RNAcentral lists this long non-coding RNA (2340 nucleotides) under Homo sapiens (human). RNAcentral's name for it is "HSALNT0057770". Lineage: Eukaryota; Metazoa; Chordata; Mammalia; Primates; Hominidae. The record is from RNAcentral.
UGUAAAGAUAAUUGAAUACAACUUGAAAUCAUGCAAUGUCAUAAAAGCAUUCCUAUUGCUACCUUCACAUUACCAAUAAACUGAAAUUAGUCAUAUAACUCUGUUCUCUGCAUGUCAGCGCACUUCAUUCAAGCAUGAAGACAAACUCACUGACAACCUAGAAAAAUCAACAUCCUUGACGUGUCUUUACACUGUUACAGGUAUAUGUUGCCUCAAACAUCCUCAUUCAAUCAACAAAGUAAUUGCUCUCCCUUCUAAGCUCCCACCCACUAAAUUACUCUGAGAAAUGCUUUUCAAACCACUCCCAGAGGACCAUCACAUUUUUCUUGGGAAGGAAUUAGGAAACUUACUACUCUGCUUACAAAGCCAGUGGUUUUGGUGCUGGGGUCUGGUUUACAACCCUGGCUGGGAGACUGGCCUCAGGGAAGAGGGUAUCCCAGCCCAGGGCUCAAGGACUAACUCAUUAGGAGCCCUCCUUCCAGAAGGCGCUGUUCAUUUACACCAACAGGUGUAUGUAUACCUGUUGUUUAUGUCCAUUUACAAAAUUCUCCUAAAGCAAUUUAAUAGUGAAAGAAAACCUGGCACAUCAAAAACCGGACUCCGUAUUUACAAGAUUCUAUAGAAAGUCACAGAAGCACAACUCCCCACAUCCGUGCACUAGGUACAGCUUAGUGACCAACACCUUCGGUACUGCUAAGGAUCCCUACAGAAGUUCUGCCUCUACUGUCAACUAGCAGAGCUAUGAGGCCUUGGCCCAGACCCAUCACCUCUCUGGGAUUCAAUGCCCUCAUCUCUAGAACUAUGUGGCCUCCAGAGUCUGUUUGCUCUCAGAAUCUUUGACGUCAUGAUUCCUUACCAUAACAAGUAUCAUUUAUAAAUGAAGGCUGCAUAGAGUUGCUGGAAAAAAAAUUAUAGAAUGUGCUCAAAGCACCCUGGAAUAAGAGAACAAAGGACAUACAUAUAUAAAGAGUGACAGCCUACAAUUCAAACAUUGAUGGGUAACAUAUGUGCUUAAAGCAGUACCCAACUCCUACCCCCAGCAAGAACGAAAACUAGAGAAGAAGAUACAAAUAUCUAUUGGCUGAUGAAGAGUCUACUCCACUCAGGAAAGAACAUGUGGAAACCAUGAGAAAUGAAAGUACCCCGCCAAACCCAGCCAAAUCCAACCUCACCUCUCCUAGACACUUCCCCCUACAGUUUCUGGAGUUUCCCAGCUUCCUUGAGCAGGGAGCUUGCUCUUGAGAGAAGUGACUUCAGCUGAGGCAUUUCCCGCAGUGUGGACUGAAAGCUGAGGGUUAUUUGCUGGCAGUACUCCCAGAACUUGACUGGACUCAAACAUCUGGCCUCAAGUGAUCCUCCUGCUUUGGCCUCCUAAAGUGUUGAGAUUACAGACAUGAAUCACCGCACUCAGCCUGAGACAUACUUCUUUAAUUCCUGUAACAUUAUUUUAUGCUUUGAUACCUGAUGGAUAAUGCAGGGCCAAGCUGCACCAUGUUCCUAAGAGAAAGCCAAGAACAUAAGUCACACAAGCCCUCAGGAAGAGAAGGAAAGAAUGAGUGACAGUAGACCGCAGAUGUGAGCAAAUUCAUGGAGGAUGGAAACUGAAUGAGGGAAUGGUGGCUGGCUUAACUUAACAGAGGAAAGUGCAUUCUAAAUACCUAUCAUAAAAGCAACAAAGAGAAUAAGCCUAUCCACUCCACACUUUGGAACUGCCUGUUUAAAAGUUGAUCCCCGGACCCCACCAAGUCUACAAGCUCCACCUCAAGGACAGAAUGGAAACUGUAUUCAUCGAGGGGCUUUUAAUUGACAAAUAAAAAUUGUAUAUAUUUAUCCAUGUAUAAUAUGAAGGUUUGAAAUAUGUAUACACUGGGGAAUGGCUAAAUCAAGCUAACUAACAUCUGCAUUACCUCACAUACUUAUUUUUUGUGGUGAGAACACUUAAAAUCUACUCUCUUAGUAAUUUUCAAGAGUACAAUAUAUUGUUAUUAACUAUAGUCACAAUGUUGUCUAGCAGACCCUUCUCAGAAUCUAACAAAAUGUUUGGCUAGUAAUAGGGGCUCAAAAAGUAUUUGUGAGUGAAAAGAGUGAAUAUAUUAAUUAAUUUGUUAAUGUAUUCACUGGCAGGUGUAUUUACCUAAUUCAGUCUUUAAAAUAAUGUUCUAUAUUCCAAGUUUUCCUUAGGGAGUUAACCCAAUAUUAUAGCUUGAUUGUUUACACAAGACCCAUAAAACAAACUAUAAUAGCAAUAGUCAACAAAGAGAUGAUAUUGGCAUAAUAUAAUGCUAUAUUGGUUUUAUUGUGCUGCCAUAACAAAUUACCAAAAAUUUAGUAUCUUAAAAC